Molecule: ribosomal RNA, 411 nt
Filed under: uncultured bacterium
Lineage: Bacteria
Description: bacterial SSU rRNA
Rfam family: Bacterial small subunit ribosomal RNA
Source: RNAcentral
AAUGGGGGCAACCCUGACGCAGCAACGCCGCGUGAGUGAUGAAGGCCUUUGGGUCGUAAAACUCUGUCAGCAGGAAAGAAGUUAUAUGUGGUUAAUACCCAUGUAUAUUGACGGUACCUGCAAAGGAAGCACCGGCUAACUCCGUGCCAGCAGCCGCGGUAACACGGAGGGUGCAAGCGUUAUUCGGAAUUAUUGGGCGUAAAGGGCGCGUAGGCGGCCGAACAGGUCAGAUGUGAAAGCCCGGGGCUUAACCCCGGAAGUGCAUUUGAAACCUUUUGGCUUGAGUAUGGGAGAGGAGAGCGGAAUUCCUGGUGUAGAGGUGAAAUUCGUAGAUAUCAGGAGGAACACCGGUGGCGAAGGCGGCUCUCUGGACCAAUACUGACGCUGAGGCGCGAAGGCGUGGGUAGCAAA